RNAcentral lists this ribosomal RNA (438 nucleotides) under Brevibacillus parabrevis. Its description in RNAcentral is "bacterial SSU rRNA". It matches the Rfam family "Bacterial small subunit ribosomal RNA", at positions 370 to 800 of the family's 1533-position model. The record is from RNAcentral. Lineage: Bacteria; Bacillati; Bacillota; Bacilli; Caryophanales; Paenibacillaceae.
CAUGGCGAAGUCUGAUGGGAGCAACGCCGCGUGAACGAUGAAGGUCUUCGGAUUGUAAAGUUCUGUUGUCAGGGACGAACACGUGCCGUUCGAAUAGGGCGGUACCUUGACGGUACCUGACGAGAAAGCCACGGCUAACUACGUGCCAGCAGCCGCGGUAAUACGUAGGUGGCAAGCGUUGUCCGGAUUUAUUGGGCGUAAAGCGCGCGCAGGCGGCUAUGUAAGUCUGGUGUUAAAGCCCGGAGCUCAACUCCGGUUCGCAUCGGAAACUGUGUAGCUUGAGUGCAGAAGAGGAAAGCGGUAUUCCACGUGUAGCGGUGAAAUGCGUAGAGAUGUGGAGGAACACCAGUGGCGAAGGCGGCUUUCUGGUCUGUAACUGACGCUGAGGCGCGAAAGCGUGGGGAGCAAACAGGAUUAGAUACCCGGGGUAGUCCACGC